This 433-nucleotide ribosomal RNA is filed under the name uncultured bacterium. RNAcentral's name for it is "partial 16S ribosomal RNA". It matches the Rfam family "Bacterial small subunit ribosomal RNA", at positions 29 to 507 of the family's 1533-position model. The record is from RNAcentral.
AACGAACGCUGGCGGCAGGCCUAACACAUGCAAGUCGAGCGAGGACUUCGGUCCUAGCGGCGGACGGGUGAGUAACGCGUGGGAACGUGCCCUUUGCUUCGGAAUAGCCCUGGGAAACUGGGAGUAAUACCGGAUGAGCCCUUUGGGGGAAAGAUUUAUCGUCGAAGGAUCGGGCCGGAUUGGAUUAGGUAGUUGGUGGGGUAAUGGCCUACCAAGGCGACGAUCCAUAGCUGGUUUGAGAGGAUGAUCAGCCACACUGGGACUGAGACACGGCCCAGACUCCUACGGGAGGCAGCAGUGGGGAAUCUUAGACAAUGGGGGAAACCCUGAUCUAGCCAUGCCGCGUGAGCGAUGAAGGCCUUAGGGUUGUAAAGCUCUUUCAGCUGGGAAGAUAAUGACGGUACCAGCAGAAGAAGCCCCGGCUAACUCCGUG